CCUACGGGAGGCUGCAGUGGGGAAGAUUGGGCAAUGGAGGAAACUCUGACCCAGCAACGCCGCGUGAAUGAUGAAGGUCUUCGGAGUGUAAAGUUCUUGUCUAAGGGAAGAAGAAAGUGACGGGACCUUAGGAAUAAGCAUCGGCUAACUACGUGCCAGCAGCCGCGGGAAUACGUAGGAGGCAAGCGUUAUCCGGAAUGACGGGGCGUAAAGGGUGCGUAGGGGGUUGUACAAGUUGGUAGCGUAACUCCGAGGCUUAACCUCGGCACUACUACCAAAACUGUUGGACUCGAGUGCAGGCGUGGCCACUGGCAUUCCUCGUGUCGCGGUGUCAUGCGUAGAUAUUAGGCG
Molecule: ribosomal RNA, 351 nt
Filed under: uncultured bacterium
Lineage: Bacteria
Description: partial 16S ribosomal RNA
Rfam family: Bacterial small subunit ribosomal RNA
Source: RNAcentral